UACGGAGGGUGCAAGCGUUGUCCGGAUUUAUUGGGUUUAAAGGGUGCGUAGGCGGCCCGUUAAGUCAGUGGUGAAAGCCUCCAGCUCAACUGGAGAACUGCCAUUGAUACUGACGGGCUUGAGUACAGACGAGGUUGGCGGAAUUGAUUGUGUAGCGGUGAAAUGCAUAGAUACAAUCAAGAACUCCGAUUGCGUAGGCAGCUAACUAGGCUGUAACUGACGCUAAGGCACGAAAGCGUGGGGAGCGAACAGG
RNAcentral lists this ribosomal RNA (253 nucleotides) under uncultured bacterium. Its description in RNAcentral is "partial 16S ribosomal RNA". It matches the Rfam family "Bacterial small subunit ribosomal RNA", at positions 524 to 776 of the family's 1533-position model. The record is from RNAcentral.